Molecule: non-coding RNA, 73 nt
Organism: Candidatus Woesearchaeota archaeon CG1_02_33_12
Lineage: Archaea; Nanobdellati; Candidatus Woesearchaeota
Source: Rfam
GCGGUAGUAGUGUAGCCUGGUAGCAUAAGAGACUGUGGAUCUCUUGGCCCGAGUUCAAAUCUCGGCUACCGCC